This 29-nucleotide small RNA is filed under the name Bombyx mori (domestic silkworm). RNAcentral describes it as "ovarian small RNA-13939". Lineage: Eukaryota; Metazoa; Arthropoda; Insecta; Lepidoptera; Bombycidae. The record is from RNAcentral.
CCUAACGCUGCUGCCGGCUGCCAAAGCCA